UUGUUCUAACGCUUUGCACAAAGGCGGGAAACGGUCAUCAAAGCUGUUGCGAAGGGAAGAGCCAAUGCAUUAAUUCGAUCCAAGAGGACUCGCCUCGUUGGAUUUGCAGCAACCUAAUCUCUCGCUCAGGAAGAAAACGCCACGAUAAAGAGUUUUCUGUCCUCCUUGUUUGCACGGAGCAGCAAACGCAGAGACAAAAGAAACGGGCCCCGACUGAUAUUCCAACUUAAUAAAAAGGUAAUAUACUCAUUAUGUUCCUGUUUCCCAGAAGACACUGCUUGGGAGUUCUGUUCUGUCAUCAACGGAGCUGUGAUGACCGUGGAUGUCACUGGUAGUGGCCAACAUUUCUGCAGCUCCUUCUCAGUUACAUCCUCAACACAAACUCCUCACCAGGUGGCAGAAGUGGAAGAAGCUGAGAUGUGGCUGUGAGUCCUGACUUCACUGCUGUCCAGCGGAAAGAGUCUGAGCAGUCUAAACCCG
Molecule: long non-coding RNA, 480 nt
Filed under: Homo sapiens (human)
Lineage: Eukaryota; Metazoa; Chordata; Mammalia; Primates; Hominidae
Description: non-protein coding lnc-FAM174B-2:8
Source: RNAcentral